UAAAAAGCUUCAAACUGGGAUUAGAUACCCCACUAUGCCCAGCCUCAAACUAUGACUCAAUACAAAACACUUCCGCCCGGGAACUACGAGCUACAGCUUAAAACCCAAAGGACUUGGCGGUGCCCCACCCACCUAGAGGAGCCUGUUCUAUAAUCGAUAACCCCCGCUUAACCUCACCACUUCUUGCCAAUACCGCCUAUAUACCACCGUCGCCAGCCCACCCCGUGAGGGAAUAAGUAGGCACAAUGAUCACCACCAAAACGUCAGGUCAAGGUGUAGCGUAUGAAGUGGAAAGAAAUGGGCUACAUUCUCUAAUCUAGAGCACACGAAAAAUCAUAAGAAAUUAGAUUGGAAGGAGGAUUUAGUAGUAAAAAGAAACAAUAGUGUUCUUUUUAAAUUGGCCCUGGGGCGCGCACACACCGCCCGUCACCCUCUGCAGUCAAAA
Molecule: ribosomal RNA, 445 nt
Filed under: Bombina maxima (large-webbed bell toad)
Lineage: Eukaryota; Metazoa; Chordata; Amphibia; Anura; Bombinatoridae
Description: partial 12S ribosomal RNA
Rfam family: Bacterial small subunit ribosomal RNA
Source: RNAcentral